RNAcentral lists this ribosomal RNA (1303 nucleotides) under Pristimantis cisnerosi. RNAcentral describes it as "partial large subunit ribosomal RNA". It matches the Rfam family "Archaeal large subunit ribosomal RNA", at positions 928 to 2987 of the family's 2987-position model. The record is from RNAcentral. Lineage: Eukaryota; Metazoa; Chordata; Amphibia; Anura; Strabomantidae.
UGGUUUCUCAAGAAAAGAAUUUCAGUUCCGCCUAAAGCAAUUUAAAUCCCAAUAAAUUAUCCUAAGCCUUUAGAGUAAGUCAAAUAAGGUACAGCCUAUUCGACACAGAACUCAGCCUUUAACAACGGGUAAUACAAUUUCACCUUAUUAAGUGGGCCUAAUAGCAGCCACCUUUUAAAAAGCGUUAAAGCUUAAAAUUCACCCUAAUUCUUAAGCCAUUAUUGACCCCUUCAGCCCUAUUGAGAACUCCUAUAACCAUAUAGGACCUUUUAUGCUAAAACUAGUAACAAGAGGUUGUCCCUCUCUACAAUGUAAACCCAAGCCAGCUUGAACCCCUCACUGGCACCUAACAGACCUAAACUAAAGUAAUAACUCAUCUAGAAAACACUACUUUACCAUGCUGUUAACCUAACACAAGAACAUUUCAAGAAAGAUUAAAAGGAAGAGAAGGAACUCGGCAAACAUUAAACCCGCCUGUUUACCAAAAACAUCGCCUCUUGUCUCCCUUAUAAGAGGUCCAGCCUGCCCAGUGACUUGUUCAACGGCCGCGGUAUCCUAACCGUGCGAAGGUAGCGUAAUCACUUGUCUUCUAAAUAGAGACUAGUAUGAAAGGCAUCACGAGGAUUAAACUGUCUCCUCUCCCUAAUCAGUGAACCUAAUCUCCCCGUGAAGAAGCGGGGGUAACCUUAUAAGACGAGAAGACCCUAUGGAGCUUAAAACAAUAUGACAUGUGCUACACCACUUAUACGCCACAAGGCCUUAACCUCCACACGCACACUGAUUAUACGUUUUCGGUUGGGGUGACCGCGGAGAACAAAAUAUCCUCCACGAUGAUAAGGACAUUUCCCCUAAAUAAUAAGCCACAGCUUUUCAAAUCAAUAAAUUGACAUUCUUUGACCCAAUAUUUUGAUCAACGAACCAAGUUACCCUAGGGAUAACAGCGCAAUCCACUUUAAGAGCCCUUAUCGACAAGUGGGCUUACGACCUCGAUGUUGGAUCAGGGUAUCCCAGUGGUGCAGCCGCUACUAAAGGUUCGUUUGUUCAACGAUUAAAACCCUACGUGAUCUGAGUUCAGACCGGAGUAAUCCAGGUCAGUUUCUAUCUAUAAUAGAGCUAUUCUUAGUACGAAAGGACCAGAAUAACAUAGCCUAUACUCAUGCAAGCUAUAGUUGAAUAUUUUAGACCCCCACUCAAAAAAUAACCAACCUUGCCCCCCCCCCAAAAGAAGGGCAGUUAAAGAAGCAUACCCCGGUUUUGCAAAAGACCUAAACCCUUUUUCCUGGAGGUUCAAAUCCUCUCACUA